UGGGGAAUAUUGCACAAUGGGGGAAACCCUGAUGCAGCGACGCCGCGUGAGCGAAGAAGUAUUUCGUAUGUAAAGCUCUAUCAGCAGGGAAGAAAUUGACGGUACCUGAGUAAGAAGCUCCGGCUAAAUACGUGCC
Molecule: ribosomal RNA, 136 nt
Filed under: uncultured bacterium
Lineage: Bacteria
Description: partial 16S ribosomal RNA
Rfam family: Bacterial small subunit ribosomal RNA
Source: RNAcentral